GCGUCGGUGGUUCAGUGCUAGAAUACUCGCCUGCCACGCGGGUGGCCCGGGUUCGAUUCCCGGCCGACGCA
RNAcentral lists this transfer RNA (71 nucleotides) under Dermacentor andersoni. RNAcentral describes it as "transfer RNA glycine (anticodon GCC)". It matches the Rfam family "tRNA". Rfam says of the family: Transfer RNA (tRNA) molecules are approximately 80 nucleotides in length. Their secondary structure includes four short double-helical elements and three loops (D, anti-codon, and T loops). RNAcentral also lists the same sequence under 1 other name. Lineage: Eukaryota; Metazoa; Arthropoda; Arachnida; Ixodida; Ixodidae. The record is from RNAcentral.